RNAcentral lists this ribosomal RNA (869 nucleotides) under Kocuria sp. RNAcentral's name for it is "partial 16S ribosomal RNA". It matches the Rfam family "Bacterial small subunit ribosomal RNA", at positions 41 to 921 of the family's 1533-position model. The record is from RNAcentral. Lineage: Bacteria; Bacillati; Actinomycetota; Actinomycetes; Micrococcales; Micrococcaceae.
GGCGYGCUUAACACAUGCAAGYCGAACGCUGAAGCUUGGUGCUUGCACUGGGUGGMUGAGUGGCGAACGGGUGAGUAAUACGUGAGUAACCUGCCCUUGACUCUGGGAUAAGCCUGGGAAACUGGGUCUAAUACUGGAUACGACAUGUCACCGCRUGGUGGUGUGUGGAAAGGGUUUUACUGGUUUUGGAUGGKCUCACGGCCUWUCASCUUGUUGGUGGGGUAAUGGCUCACCARGGCGACGACGGGUAGSCGGCCUGAGAGGGUGACCGGCCACACUGGGACUGAGACACGGCCCAGYCUCCUACGGGAGGCAGCAGUGGGGAAUAUUGCACMAUGGGCGAAAGCCUGAUGCAGCGACGCCGCGUGAGGGAUGACGGCCUUCGGGUUGUAAACCUCUUUCAGCACGGAAGAAGCGAAAGUGACGGYACGUGCAGAAGAAGCGCCGGCUAACUACGUGCCAGCAGCCGCGGUAAUACGUAGGGCGCAAGCGUUGUCCGGAAUUAUUGGGCGUAAAGAGCUCGUAGGCGGUUUGUCGCGUCUGCUGUGAAAGCCCGGGGCUUAACCCCGGGUGUGCAGUGSKUACGGGCAGACUUGAGUGCAGUAGGGGAGACUGGAAUUCCUGGUGUAGCGGUGAAAUGCGCAGAUMUCAGGAGGAACACCGAUGGCGAAGGCAGGUCUCUGGGCUGUUACUGACKCUGRGAGCGAAAGCAUGGGGAGCGAACAGGAUUAGAUACCCUGGUAGWCCAUGCCGUAAACGUUGGGCACUAGGYGUGGKGAACAUUCCAYGUUUUUCCGCGCGUAGCUAACGCAUUAMGUGACCCSGCUGGAGAGUACCGGCGCAGGCUAAACUCRAGUAUGACGGGGUCC